GCCUUAGUGGUGUAGUGGUCAGCACGCUCGACGCGUAUUCGAGAGGUCCGUGGUUCGAGUCCCGCAAGGGCA
Molecule: non-coding RNA, 72 nt
Organism: Stegodyphus mimosarum
Lineage: Eukaryota; Metazoa; Arthropoda; Arachnida; Araneae; Eresidae
Source: Rfam